AUUGAACGCUGGCGGCAUGCCUUACACAUGCAAGUCGGACGGGAACAGGUCUUCGGAUGCUGACGAGUGGCGAACGGGUGAGUAAUACAUCGGAACGUGCCUAGUAGUGGGGGAUCACUACUCGAAAGAGUGGCUAAUAACGAAUGAGAUCUACGGAUGAAAGCAGGGGAUCGCAAGACCCUGUGCUACGAGAGCGUCCGGUGGAAGAUUAGGUAGUUGGUGGGAUAAAAGCUUACCAAGCCGACGAUCUGUAGCUGGUCUGAGAGGACGAUCAGCCACACUGGGACUGAGACACGGCCCAGACUCCUACGGGAGGCAGCAGUGGGGAAUUGUGGACAAUGGGCGCAAGCCUGAUCCAGCAAUGCCGCGUGCAGGAUGAAGGCCUUCGGGUUGUAAACUGCUUUUGUACGGAACGAAAAGCCCUGGGUUAAUACCCUGGGGUCAUGACGGUACCGUAAGAAUAAGCACCGGCUAACUACGUGCCAGCCGCCGCGUGUAA
This 499-nucleotide ribosomal RNA is filed under the name uncultured bacterium. Its description in RNAcentral is "partial 16S ribosomal RNA". It matches the Rfam family "Bacterial small subunit ribosomal RNA", at positions 30 to 523 of the family's 1533-position model. The record is from RNAcentral.